GCGGCGUCUGGGCAGGAGACACGGCUUGGGCAGGGGCCAGCGCUGCCUUUCUCCGCCGCUCCCUUCUCUGCCGCCGAGUGUGUGCAUGUGUGGCCCCAUCUGCUGAUCCGGGCACCCACCUCCUCGGGAGCAGGGCCAGAGGUGGUUGCCCAUAGGCGGUGGGCAGGAGCCAGGGCGUCCCCACGUUCAAAGAGGCUGCUUGUUGCUCUGACCAGCCAGUCUGGGAGCUGCUUGGGAUACAGGUGGACCUCCCAACUGCCCCUCAGACAAACCUGAGGGUGCCAGCCCAGGGCCCAUGAAACUGAAGGCAUGGUGCCCAGGUGUGGAGCCUGCUUGCCUCGGACGUGGCGCUGGAGUCCCACAUGCCAAACUGCUGGUCCAGACACGGUGUAUGUGUAGGAUGGCUGCUCCUAGGCAGGAGGAGAACCGUAGUUGCGCUGCGACAGAAGGUGCGUCAGGAAAGGGUGAUGGUGGAGGCUCACAUCACCGAGUCCUGAGAGAGGUUUCCUGGAAAGGUUGGCCACACGGCGAUACAGACCAUUCAGGAAAUGGAGUGGGGAUCCCAGGUCCAGCCUCACAUGUUAGUACUGUCCCCACUAUGCCUGUGUUCUUGGGCCUGGACUGCAGAGCCUCAAAGACGGGCUCCCAGGGGGCAGUGGUUCUGACUCCCAUUGUGAGACCUGUGGUGAGGCGCCUUCCCGGCUUAGGCAGAGAGCUCAGUGGCUCCCGAUCAGGGGUGCUCUUCCUUACUUUCAGAACUGCUGUUCAGAGGCUGUUGAGAUCAGGAUGCUGUUUAUGACUAAGCCAAUUCAAAGUCAACUUUUGUUUUGCUUUAAAAAUCUUUGAAUGCCGAUGCCUUAUUGUGGAAGCUGUGACAGGUUUUAUUUCCUUGGGCUCAAAAAUCACUGCAGACGGUGACUGCAGCCAUGAGAUUAAAAACUGCUUGCUCCUUGGAAAGCUAUGACAAACAUAGACAGCAUAUUGAAAAGUAGAGACAUCACUUUGCUGACAAAGAUCCAUAUAGUCAAAGCUAUGGUUUUUCCAGUAGUCACGGAUGGGUGUGAGAAUUGGACCAUAAAGAAGGCUGAGCCCUGAAGAACUGAUGCUUUCGAAUUGUGUUGCUGGAGAAGACUCUGUUCUAACAGAAAAUAAACUGUUUUUAAAUGUAUUACAAUGGAAAAUUUCAAACAUGCACAAAAGUGGAUGGAGUAGUAUAAUAAAUACCCAUGACCCAUCAAUUAAUCUCAGCAAUUUUUAACACAAAGCCAAUCUCAACUAGAUCAUUCUUCUCUCCAUUUCUUUAUACAGUAGAUUCUAAAACAGCUUUUUAAACCUUGAAAUUGAAUUGAUGCUCAUUUUAUAAAACACAGCCUUGCCAACUUUGUUAUUACAUUUAAAAAAUGCUUGAGGUAAUUAUUUCCAGUUUUUUAAUAUGAAUUUUCAUAUUGGAAAAGACCCUGAUGCUGGGAAAGAUUGAAGGCAGGAAGAGAGUGGAUGACAGAGGAUGAGAUGGUUGGAUGGCAUCACCAACUCAAUGGACAUGAGUUUGAGCAGAUGCUUAGCAGAAGUCAAGUUACAUUUUCCUUAUGCUAAUCCACUGCUGUAACACGUAUAGCAUUUCUGGUUUUGAACACUGAAUGUGUUUGCAUUAUAGUUGAAUUUAGAGUGUGUGGCUGUUAUGUGUGGUUCAGAAUUCUGAGUAGUCCUUUCUGGGAUCACCUGAAAGCUGAGACAAAGCGUGAGCCCUUCACGUGGACUGUGCUGUGCGUCAGAAAGAUAAUACGAGCCACCUACACAAUCAAAAAUUUCCUAAAACCCAAUGGGCUCCUUGACAUCCUUCUUUCACUGUGAGUCUUGAAAUCUUCUGUGUGAUUUCCACAUCUAGUGUUGCACCAGCCUGUCUCACGUGCUCAGGGGCUGCACGAGGCGAGUGACUGCCAUGGCCGACAGCACAGAGCUUCCAGGUUGAGUCGAGUGACUCGGAAACUUGGCCCGUUUGACUUGUUUUACCCCAUAAGGAAGUGAAGUGGGCUGUAGAGGAAUGAAUGUGAGGAAUGCCCAGGAAUGCAGGUGAGCUCCAUGGAGACCGUUUAAAGCAACGAGAGGAGUGAGGGCAAUAGAGUGAGUUGUGUCCCCCUGACCCGAACCCCCGCCUGAAGUCGAGCUUCUCUCUACAGACUUCAUCGUUGUUAAUGGCUUGCCAUGUUUCCUCCAGAGAAACCUUUUCUGCGCCUGAGAUGGAACUUCCUCCUCAUUGUGGUUUAUGGGACCAGCUGAUUCUAAACCUGGAAACCCUGAGAGCUGAACUGGACCAGAUGAGAGUGCGAGGGGCUCCCUUCCACUAUGGGUAGGCUGCUCCCCCGGGCAGCUCCCCUCAGCGCUGUCGAGUGUGACAAGGGCCUGUCUGGUGUGUGGACAGUAUGACUGGGUGUUGCUCAUGGUCGCACCUCAAGGAGCCUGUAGCUUCGUGACCAGCGAGAGGGAAGAGACAAGCAUCGUUCCUUAGGGUCAAACUUGGUACCAUGGAGUGGUAGUCACAGUAUUGACAACACUCAAAACCACAGGCAGAGAUUUGGAAGUGUGGGGGCGACCAGUUGAUAUUUGGG
Long non-coding RNA from Bos taurus (domestic cattle), 2606 nucleotides. NCBI's taxonomy places the organism in Eukaryota, Metazoa, Chordata, Mammalia, Artiodactyla, Bovidae. The record is from Ensembl.